GAUGAACGCUGGCGGCGUGCCUAAUACAUGCAAGUCGAGCGAAAAGACGAGGAGCGUUCGCCCCUGACGGUAGCGGCGGACGGGCGAGUAAGACGUGGAUAACCUUCUUAUAAGACGGGGAGAACUUCGGGAAACCAGAUCUGAUACCGGAGAAUAUAUCGUACCGCAUGGAUCAAUAGUGAAUGGCGGCUUGGCUGUCACAUAGAGCUGAUGCCGGGUCGCAUUAGCUAGUUGGUAAGGUAACGGCUUACCAAGGCAACGAUGCGUAGCCGACCUGAGAGGAUGAUCAGCCACACUGGAACUGAGACACGGUCCAGACUCCUACGGGAGGCAGCAGUGGGGAAUCUUCGGCAAUGGGCGAAAGCCUGACCGAGCAACACCGCGUGAGUGAUGAAGGUCUUCGGAUCGUAAAACUCUGUUAUUAGGAAAGAAAAGAUGUGUAAGUAACUAUGCACGUCUUGACGGUACCUAAACAAAAAGCAACGGCUAACUACGUG
This 497-nucleotide ribosomal RNA is filed under the name uncultured bacterium. RNAcentral describes it as "partial 16S ribosomal RNA". It matches the Rfam family "Bacterial small subunit ribosomal RNA", at positions 28 to 507 of the family's 1533-position model. The record is from RNAcentral.